Non-coding RNA from Caenorhabditis elegans, 21 nucleotides. The record is from Ensembl. NCBI's taxonomy places the organism in Eukaryota, Metazoa, Nematoda, Chromadorea, Rhabditida, Rhabditidae.
UACGCCACACGCUCAUUCCUC